AGACUGGCGGGCAGCUCCGCCCGCGGCCGGGAUGCACUAGGCAAAGCCAGCUGGGCUCCUGAGUCCGGUGGGUACUUGGAGAACUUACUACGUCUAGCUGGAGGAUUGUAAAUGCACCAAUCAGCAUGCUGUGUCUAGCUCAAGUGGAAUUCUGUCUUCUGAGGUGUCAAGGACUGAAGUUGCUGCAGACCUGCGUGAAUACAGUCACCAGCAACACCAGUGACAGGCUCAGACGCAUCGGGACCGGACCCGCAGCUUGCGGUCACCAUGGGCUUCACGGGGUUCGGUAAAAAAGCUCGCACAUUUGACUUGGAAGCAAUGUUUGAACAAACUCGAAGAACAGCUGUGGAAAGAAGUUGCAAAACACUGGGGCUGGUGAAUUACCAGAUCUCCGUCAAGUGCAGUAACCAGUUCAAGUUGGAAGUGUGUCUUUUGAAAUCAGAAAACAAAGUCGUGGACAACCAGGCUGGGACCCAGGGCCAGCUGAAGGUGCUGGGUGCCAACCUCUGGUGGCCGUACCUGAUGCACGAACACCCCGCCUACCUGUACUCGUGGGAGGAUGGUGAUUGCUCACACCAAAGCCUUGGACCCCUCCCAGCCUGUGACCUUUGUGACCAACUCCACCUACGCAGCAGACAAGGGGGCUCUGUAUGUGGAUGUGAUCCGUGUGAACAGCUACUACUCUUGGUAUCGCAACUACGGGCACCUGGAGUUGAUUCAGCUGCAGCUGGCCGCCCAGUUUGAGAACUGGUGUAAGACAUCACAAUCCCAUUAUUCAGAGCGUGUAUGGAGUGGAAACGCUUGUAGGGUUUCACCAGGAUCCACCUUGAUGUUCAGUGAAGAGUACCAGAAAAGUCUGCUAGAGCAGUACCAUCUGGGUCUCAAUCAAAAACGCAGAAAAUACGUGGUUGGAGAGCUCAUCUGGAAUUUUGCCGAUUUCAUGACUAACCAGUGCUGAUUCGUCAUUUGCAAAGAUCUGGGAAGCAAUAUUAGCAAAGCAAUCCAUGAGCUU
Long non-coding RNA from Homo sapiens (human), 1012 nucleotides. Ensembl annotates it as GUSB pseudogene 1. Its record names the gene GUSBP1. The record is from Ensembl. NCBI's taxonomy places the organism in Eukaryota, Metazoa, Chordata, Mammalia, Primates, Hominidae.